This 65-nucleotide small RNA is filed under the name Sinorhizobium meliloti 2011. RNAcentral's name for it is "putative ncRNA". The record is from RNAcentral. Lineage: Bacteria; Pseudomonadati; Pseudomonadota; Alphaproteobacteria; Hyphomicrobiales; Rhizobiaceae.
GUCCUCGUCGAUGCGCUUGAUCGGCAGGUUGGUCGGCACCUCGAGAACUUCGAGGCCGUAGAUGU